CUAAUGAUCUUUUCUAAUUAGAAAAGCAGUGGACAUUUUCAUCUGUAUGCCUCAUUCAGCAAGUCCAAGCCUGAGGUCAUCAUUGGUCUCACCCAAAACCUGCUUAUCUUAGAGAAUGGCUUAGCCUCAGUGCAGGAGAACUCUUCCUCAACUCUUCUCCAUCCUGAUGCUUCGGUUUCUGCUUCUGUGUUUUCACAUUGUGUUGCCUCAGUUGUGUGGCCACUGUCAUUUCCCAGUUGUGUUGCCACAGUCAUUGUGUUGCCACUGUCAUCUCCCACCCAGAAUACUAGCACAGCUUUUAGCUCAUCUACCUGACUCCAUCUUUCCUUCUCCAUUUCUCUUCUCCUCCCUUACCUGACACUGUUUUAAAAAUAUGUUCUUUCUAAGGGCCAGGUACAGUGGCUUAUGCCUAUAAUCCCAGCAUUUUAGGAAGCCAAGGUGGGAGAAUCACUUGAGCUCAGAGUUUGAGACCAGCCUGGGCAACAUAGUGAGAUCCUGUCUCCACAAAAAUAAAAAUUAAAAAAUCAGUUGGGCAUGAUGGUACACACCUGUAGUUCUAGCUACUUGAGAGGCUCAGGUGGGAGGAUACCUUGAGCCCAGGAGGUCGAAGCUGCUGUGAGCCAUCAUUAUUAUGCCUCUAUACUCCAGACAGAGUGAGACCCCAUCUCAAAAAAUGAGAAUAAUAAAUUUUAAAAAGUUCUUUCUAAAGAACUUAUUUGAUCAUAUCACCUGCUUGUUUAAAAUUCUACAAGAUUGAAACUAGACUCCUUCCUUACACCAUAUACAAAAGUUAACUCAAGAUGGAUUAAAAACUUAAAUGUAGGCUGGGUGCGGUGGCUCACGCCUGUAAUCCCAGCACUCUGGGAGGCCGAGGCGGGUGGAUCACGAGGUCAAGAGAUCGAGACCAUCCUGGUCAACAUGGUGAAACCCCGUCUCUACUAAAAAUACAAAAAGUUAGCUGGGCAUGGUGGCGCGUGCCUGUAAUUCCAGCUACUCAGGAGGCUGAGGCAGGAGAAUUGCCUGAACCCAGGAGGUGGAGGUUGUAGUGAGCCGAGAUCGUGCCAUUGCACUCCAGCCUGGGUAACAAGAGCAAAACUCCAUCUCAAAAAAAAAAAAAAAAAAAAAAAAAAAAACUUAAAUGUAAAACCUAAGGCUAUAAAAACUGUUGAAGAAAACCGAGGAAAUACCAUUCUGGACAUAGGGCCCAGCAAAGAUUUCAUGACAAAGACACAAAAGCAAUUACAACAAAAACAAAAAUUGACAAAUGAGACUUAAUUAAACUAAAGAAAUUUUACACAGCAAAAUAAACUAUCAAGAGUAAACAGACAACCCAUAGAAUGAGAGAAAUAUUUGCAAACUCUGCACUGACAAAGGUGUAACAUCCAGAAUCUAUAAGGAACAAGCAAAAAAUGAACAACCUCAUUAAAAAGUAAGCCAAGGACAUGAACGGACACUUCAAAAGAAAACAUACAUGCAACCGACAAAUGUGAAGAGUGCUCAACAUCACUAAUCAUUCAAAAAAUGCAAAUCAAAACCGCAUGAGAGACGAUCUUAUGACAGUUAGAAUGGUUAUUACUUUAAAAAAUUUAAUAGAAUGGCUAUUAUUCAAAAAAUAACAUGCUGGUAAGGUUGCAGAGAACAGGGAAUGCAUAUACCCUGUUGGUGGCAGUGUAAAUUAGUUCAGCUACUGUAGAAAGCAGUUUGGUGAUUUCUCAAAGAACUUAAAACCGAGCUACCAUUUGACCCAGCAGUCCCAUUAUUGGGUAUAUACCCAAAGGAAAAUAAAUCAUUCUACCAUAGACAUGCACACAUAGAUUCAUCACAGCACUAUUCAAAAUAUUAAUAGCAAAGACAUUGAGUUUUUAGGUAUUUAGGUUGCUAAAUACCCAUCAGUGGUAGACUGGAUAAAAGAAAAUGUGGUACAUAUACAUUAUGGAAUACUUUUCAGCCAUAAAAAAAGAGAUCAUGCCCUUUGCAGCAACAUGGAUAGAGCUGGAGGCCAUGGAUGGAGUUGGAGCAAAUUAAUAAGGAUCAGAAAACUAACACCACAUGUUCUCACUUACAACCUCUUCAUAUGGUCCACAAAGUUAUCUUCCUAAAACAAACAUGAUCAUGUGCCCACUGACCAGCUCCUAGAGCAGUAACAAGCAAAAGGGGUCUAUUGGGGGAAAUAGGGGAGGGACAGCGGGUAGGGGGAGCUGGGGAGGGAUAGCAUGGGGAGAAAUGCCAGAUGUGGGUGAAGGGGAGGAAGACAGCAAAUCACACUGCCACGUGUGUACCUAUGCAACUAUCUUGCAUGUUCUGCACAUGUACCCCAAAACCUAAAAUGCAAUAAAAAAAGUUUUCAUAACAA
Molecule: non-coding RNA, 2353 nt
Organism: Callithrix jacchus (white-tufted-ear marmoset)
Lineage: Eukaryota; Metazoa; Chordata; Mammalia; Primates; Cebidae
Source: RefSeq, a predicted model, not a curated record